RNAcentral lists this ribosomal RNA (1561 nucleotides) under Triticum aestivum (bread wheat). RNAcentral's name for it is "partial small subunit ribosomal RNA". Lineage: Eukaryota; Viridiplantae; Streptophyta; Magnoliopsida; Poales; Poaceae. The record is from RNAcentral.
UACGUAUCUAGAGGUGAUGUCCCAGAACUAUAAGAACUUUAACCUCUGCUCGUCAAAGGACGUUCGGAGCUCAUACUACUGUUCAUGCUGGAGCUCUACCAGACGCGCUAUGUAGAGACAAAGAGCGUGAUGGUGAGGUUCCAAAGUCCCCUCCUGUACGAGCUCAAACAGUUCGUUUUCGAACCGUAGUCCCAGCCACGGCCAUGGCCGGCCUCGAGCCACUUCGCGUCCGGACUCCUAAGUCUAAAUACCGUCCCUGUGUUAGUUUAAAUAUGGUAUGCAACACUACUAUGUUCCUUUCAUUUGUAUCUACGUAUAAAACAAGUUGCAAUGCUAUGUUCCCUCUCAACCGGAUGCAGCGGUUGACUAGACGCCGUCGCACCUUCCUCUCAAGUUUUCGUCGUCCUCGCCGACAAGAUGACGACCAGCCUCCCUCUCGAACCGUUCCCUCUGUCUCCCUCGAGAUGUUGGUGCUAGAACCGUAUGUUGGGCUACCGUAGUACAGGUGCCUCGUUUGACGCAUCGUUCUAGUUAUUACUUACCAAGUUCAGUACAUAAUGUUCAAUGUUACUCGUCCUCCAUCAGUUCAGUCAACUACUAUUCCUAUAAUAAGCUUGUAAAUGACGUUACUGCAGAGCCUUUCCCGUAAACGGAACACUAACAGAAAUCACGCGAUAACCAUAAGCACGGAAGAUACUAAAACCGUUGUACCGCUCGAACGUCGUCCCCAGUCUCUUCCCGCGCAACACUGCCUGGAGGCGAGGAGACGCCUACGGAUUCGUCGCUACUCUGCGAAGUGCCUUAGCUCAGAUACUCAGAGAGACGUACGCGACGCCGCUCUCAUAUUCACGGAACUAGACACCGUGUCGAGGAUUGGGGUAAGGGAAACCAAAGCCGAACUGAGUAACACUUAAGACUACGCAUGAAAGAAAACCAGUCCCGUGGUACUCCAACGACGACUGAUGCUAAGGGUUGAAGGUCCUCUAUUCCAGCAACACUACCGAAAACUUACGGGCGUUACAUUACUUUCCUUGAUGCUCCAGGUCAAACGACCUGUCAAGGCCGGAUUAUUGGUUUCUACUACACACCGAUCUUUACUGUACUACAGAGCAAAUCGUACCGACAACAAGACUUGACAUUUGAUGUGGUCUCGCAACACACGUCUAUUAACUGCCCUUCCUCGAGGACUACCCUUCCUGUAUGUGACUGUUAGUAGUACACUUCUUCCAGUUCGUUAACUUACUAACCUUUAUACAUUGAUGUAAUGGUAGAGCCUGAUUAGUUGGUAAACUUUCUGUAAUACACGAGCCCCUCGUUUUUGAAAACCCGUCUGUGGAACCACCAAAAAAGCAUGAUAAUUCCUCCGUGGUAACGUUGGACUUGUUCCAAACACUCGUGGAUCGAAUUAGGAAGACAUACCUAGGAUGUUCGUCUUCAGUAGGUGUAGUGCAAAAUUAUAAGACCUCAUAAUAAAGUAGGGAUCGAGGUGAACGACGAGUUUUGGACACGUAUGGUAUCAAACUGUUGGUCGUCUGGGGAUCUUAGACAACGUACCUCACUC